This is a long non-coding RNA of Pseudopipra pipra, 3815 nucleotides long. RefSeq lists it as uncharacterized. Lineage: Eukaryota; Metazoa; Chordata; Aves; Passeriformes; Pipridae. The record is from RefSeq and is a predicted model, not a curated record. The transcript has 2 exons.
CGGGUCCGGUCCCACCGCGGCGCAGCGCAUCCCCGCGGCACCGCCCGGCACCGCACGGACCGGGCCGGCAAGGAGAGCACGGACCGGCACCGCACGGAGCGGCACCGACCGGCACCGCACGGGCCGGGCCGGAGAACACGGCACCGACCAGCACCGCACGGAUCGGACCGCAAACACGGUUCGGCACGGCACGAGCUGGCACCGACCGGCACCCACAGGCACGGCUCGGACCGGACCGGCACGAACCGCCAAACACGGCUCAGACUGGCAGGGCACGGACCGGACCGGCAGGGCGCACCCCGGCUCGGCUCGGUGCGGCUCGGCUCAAAGAGGCUCGGCUUGGCUCAGUUCGGACCCGCCCGGACCCGCCCGGUGCCCCGCAGGCGGCACUGCCGGGGCCAGGACGGGGCACCUCUGGCCGGCCACGCACCCGUGGAGAGGCACCGGCACCCCCCGCCACCCGCGGGACCUCCCCGCCCGUCCCCCUCCUCUCACUCGCGGCUGCAGCCAGGAAGGGGCACCCCCGGGGCCUCCAGGACUGGGGGACGGGCGGGGAUGGGACGCGGGCAGUGCCUGCACGGCAUUGUCCUGACAGGGAACGACCUGUGCUCGCCGGGAUUCCUGGAACCGGGAGCAGCCUUUCAGCCUUUCUCUGAAUCUCAACAGAGAAAAAUCUAUCACUGAAAAAAAAAAAAAACACGCUUCAGUCGAUGCCAAGAAGAAAUCUGAAGGAUUUGCUGUUUGUUGGAAAGCGCUCCUGAAAAAGCAAUGUUUUCCAGGCUGCUCGGGCCGUAGAGGAGCUGAUUCCCGGGGCAGGGUCUGGGCCAAGCGCGAGCUGAGUCCAGAGGGAUUUUCCUGCCUGUGAUGGAUGAGCUCCUGCAGCACCAGGAGCUGAGGCUCCAAGUACACCUGCAACAAGGCUUGAACUGCAAGUGAGCAUCUCCCCAGGUGUCAGGGAUGAGCAGCACGCUGCUGAGCUGCCUUUCCAACACAUGGAAGUCUAUCUGCUAGGAAACAAUAUUUUAAAUCAAACUUUCCCAUAAAACAUCGGGGUCGUGAUGCUGCACCUGGGAAGGGGGUGGGAAACAGUUCCCUGAGCAGCUGCUCUGCUCCUUCUGUGCAGGUCUGUGUGAGAAGGAAAGCCCAGCAUGGUGUGAAGGAGGUGGUCCAACAUGCCAUGCCAUGCCAUGCCGUGCCACACUGUGUCAUGCUGUGCCACAUUGUGCCAUGUGUGCAAUGCUGUGCCAUCCUGUGCCAUGCCGUGCCACACCUCUAACUAGCCCCAGGCCCCAGCUCCACGUGAGUCACGCUGGGAUAGCGUGAGUCACCUCGGGAUUAAAAUAACCCCUGCACCACAGCCCUGCCCUCAGACAAAUCCCACUUCUCGCUCCGCUGCAUCAGAGCUGCUGGAUUUGCCCCAAAUCCAGUGGAUUGUGGCGCUCCCGGGGCACCGUUCCUGUCCCAGCCUGUCCCCGCGGGCUUAGGGAGCACCACCCUCCUGCCCAGCCCCCGCCGCUGAUGUUUGCAGCAGGUUGGUCGUUUCCCACAGGAAUGCGGAUGGUGAGACAUGGAAAUCAAACUCUGGACCAAGUUCACCAGGGGGUGUAAGCAGGAAUAACCUCCCCAAAAACCCCAAAGCCGGCACCUGCCAAUGGAGGGAGCGCAGUAACAUUGCCCUGGGGCAAAAGCUCCAAACAAAAAUUUAAAUUAAAAAAAAAAAAGAAUUUGAGACGUAUCCUUUGUUUCCUGACAGGAAUGAAGCCACAUAAUUAUCUUUGACUCUGGUUUCUUUGCAGGUGCUCCUGCCACAGCAUCCACCCAGCUGAGGGCCAGCAAUCCUGCACCCUCCUCAGGCAGGGAGUGUGGCCAACGUGGGCUCCCAGGGCAGGACUCCCCGCUAUGGAAUUCCCAAACAAAACCUGCAUUUGCAAAAGGUUUUGAAUGAAGCCCCAGGAGUGGGAGGAGGGGUUGUGUGUUGGCCUGUAGCCUUGGAGACCGAAGCCGAGGAAUACUGAAUGGAAACCCAAACACGGAGCUGCCUCUGAGCUCCAGGCCUGAUGUGGAGAUCGGAUCUGCAGGGACGGCUCCGCUCCGGAGCCUCCCACGGCUGGGCAGCUCACAAGUGCCACUGCCAGCUGGGGAUUCAGCUGGUUCAGUAGGAUACAUCCAUGGCAAUGGCAGGGGCUACAACCACAGCAGCUCCAGGCUGUUGACAUAAUUCCCUCUCUCUCUCUUGGCCAACGCUUCCUCCUGCUCCAAGAGUCUCAACCACCUCCUCACCAAAAGCAUCUGAUUGACCAACAUGACCAAUUCAAGCUCAAAGCCACUGUGUGCAACAUUUGAGUUCAUGUCCUGAAGCUUAUAAGCCUAAAAUUUGCCUGGUUUUAUUCAGCUUUAUUAGUCCUUCCUAAAAACAUAUGAUCUUUCCCUACAAACCUUGUCCUUGGUUAUUUCAGAGCGUCGUAGCUCCUGGAGACCCGUGACCCUUUGCCAACCCAGCCACUAAACAUGGAGCAAAGGGUGCUGAUUUAAUUCCAUAGAAUUCUCAUUGAUUUUCCUGCAUCUUUUGAUUUGAUCCAGGCAAAAAAAAAAAAAAAAAUCCCUUUGGCUGCUCCUUUCUGGAGCAGAAGUGAUUCGAUGCACUGGAGAACUCUUGCUCUGGUUUCAGCUCCUUUCAGUGUCAGCCACUUCCUUACCAAGGGAGGUUUUGUGGCUGAAGGACUUUGGGGAUGAAAAUCCGGAGCUGGUUCCAGGAACACCAGGGCAGGGAGCAGAGCCCUGUGUUUGGAAAGCAGUUCAAUACAUUCCACAGGGCCGUGGUAAUGCUCCGGCUCCCCUGGCUCAGGGGGCAGGUCGAGCUCCUUGGAGCCCUUCCCGAGGAUGCUGAUCCAGCACUGGGUCCGAGGUGUGGCUCCAAUUGGAGCCAGAGCAGUUCAAUCUGACACUGGGCUGCUCUGUGCCAGCUGUGCCUUUGGAAGGAAGAGCAUCAGGCACUGGGUUUCGUGUCUUUUUGUUUGUUUAGCAUGGAUUUGAUCCAUAUCCAUCUUUUUUUUUAAUUUAGCUCUCUUUGCGUGCUCUGUGCAACUGCAUAAGACAUGAAGAGCCUGUGAGUGCUCUCCCAGCUGGGCAGGUUUGAGGGGAAUGGAUGUUCUGGGCAUGGCUGUAGUUCCUGAGCUCCAAAGAGACCUUCCUUCCCCCAGAAAGAAGGAAGGAAGGGAAGUGUAGCACAGCUCAGCUUUUUCUGUAACAAACCCCCAUCAUCACAUCUCCAAGUUGCUCAAGUCCCUGUUUCACAGGGAAAAUAACACCCAAACCUUUCUUAAGUUAGUGAGCUUCAUUUAGGAAAUAAAUAAAAUGGUAAGAAAAUAUGAAUUAUUGUAAUAAAUACAGCACUUGCCAAAGUGAUACAGCCCCGAGAAGCACAAUAUUUUUAGGCAAAUUACUCCAGUGUGGUUACAGGGGCUGGAAAAAUAACUUUCUGUCCUUGAAAGACAUUUUAAAUAUGGAAUGGAGGAAAAGACAGACAUAGAGAGAGACUAUGUGUCUGUGAUGGCAAAGAUUAUCCAGUUUCUUCCCAAACAAGCUUUGAUAAAUAUUUGUUUAUGGGGAGGGUGUUUUUGAAAUGUGAUACUUUAUCACAACUAAUUAUUUUAAAGGAUGUUGUCAAGAUAGAAAUGAGAGAUUUUGCACACAUCCAGAUAGCCCCAAGCUGGUCUUGCAUAUUAAAAAAAAAUAAUUAUUAAUUUCUUACUUCUAUUUUUAAAAAAAAGGAAAAACCAUUUCUGCAGCUACUUCUGUUUUAGGGUGUGAAAAGA